This 253-nucleotide ribosomal RNA is filed under the name uncultured bacterium. RNAcentral describes it as "partial 16S ribosomal RNA". It matches the Rfam family "Bacterial small subunit ribosomal RNA", at positions 524 to 776 of the family's 1533-position model. The record is from RNAcentral.
UACGAAGGGUCCUAGCGUUGUUCGGAGUUAUUGGGCGUAAAGCGGGUGUAGGUGGUUCUAUAAGUCAGGAGUGAAAGCCCUCGGCUCAACCGAGGAAGUGCUUUUGAAACUGUAGAACUUGAGUACUGGAGAGGAUAGUAGAAUUCCUGGUGUAGUGGUGAAAUACGUAGAUAUCAGGAGGAAUACCGGUGGCGAAGGCGGCUAUCUGGCCAGAUACUGACACUGAGACCCGAAAGCGUGGGGAGCAAACAGG